GGGUUCGAUUCCGGAGAGGGAGCCCGAGAAACGGCUACCACUUCCAAGGAAGGCAGCAGGCGCGCAACUUACCCUAAUCUCGAUUCGAGGAGGUAGUGACAAGAAAUACCGAUGCGGGACCCUACGGGUGCCGCGUUCGGAAUGAGUACGAUUCGAACCACCUAACGAGGAACGAUCGGAGGGCAAGUCUGGUGCCAGCAGCCGCGGUAAUUCCAGCUCCAAUAGCGUACGUUAAAGUUGCUGCAGUUAAAAAGCUCGUAGUUGAACGUUCGGGUUCCGCGGGACGGGGCGCCCCGCGAGGGACGGCGCGCCCGGGGCUCGUGAUAUCUCAUCUCGCCGCCCGUCGCGAGGCGGACGGAGGGGAUGGAUGAGGUUACCGUGGAAAAAAAUCGGGGCGAUCUAGG
This 404-nucleotide ribosomal RNA is filed under the name uncultured eukaryote. RNAcentral describes it as "bacterial SSU rRNA". It matches the Rfam family "Eukaryotic small subunit ribosomal RNA", at positions 373 to 780 of the family's 1831-position model. The record is from RNAcentral.